CAAUGCAUAGCUAAACCGAAGAUAAAGCGUCUCACUUACACCGAGAAGGUAUCCGUG
RNAcentral lists this ribosomal RNA (57 nucleotides) under Nemanthias carberryi. Its description in RNAcentral is "partial 12S ribosomal RNA". The record is from RNAcentral. RNAcentral also lists the same sequence under 1 other name. Lineage: Eukaryota; Metazoa; Chordata; Actinopteri; Perciformes; Anthiadidae.